AAAAAUGGGACGAGGGGAUUUUUAUUUUUUUAAAAUAAUUUUUUUAGACUUUGCGCGACCAAUAUAUAUUUUUCGUCGCGCAAAAAUUUAAAAAUUUUGGCGGGUACCAAAAAUGGGACGCGGGGAUUUUUAUUUUUUUAAAAUAAUUUUUUUAGACUUUGCGCGACCAAUACUCCUAUAUUCGUCGCGCAAAAGUUUGCACGACCAAUAUUCCAAUAUUUUUCGUCGC
Molecule: long non-coding RNA, 229 nt
Filed under: Prunus persica (peach)
Lineage: Eukaryota; Viridiplantae; Streptophyta; Magnoliopsida; Rosales; Rosaceae
Description: long non-coding RNA (PPER_LNC006553)
Source: RNAcentral